Astatotilapia calliptera (eastern happy) is the source of this 578-nucleotide long non-coding RNA. NCBI's taxonomy places the organism in Eukaryota, Metazoa, Chordata, Actinopteri, Cichliformes, Cichlidae. The record is from Ensembl.
CCACGUCCAGCUGAUAACACAACUAAUGUUUUGAAUGUUAGUGGCACAAAUAUAAAAUUAGAUUUUGGUUCUUUUUAUCCAAACCACAGUCAAGACGCCUUCAACAAUACCAAAGAAGAAAAUGUCACAGAGGUCCCAGCAGGUGAGAGGUCCCAAUCAUCAGCAGGCCUGCUGAGUGUAGCCUUAGACAACAACAGCGACUCCUUCAGAAAUGUUACUGUUACUACAGUGGAAAGUGACUGGAUAUCACCUCACCCAGAUUACCAAAGUGACAACCUGACUGAAAUCGACCCAGAAAAUGUUACAGAAGCACCAAUGAAUUUAUUAGCAGGUGAGCCGCAUGAUGCUGGAAAAGCUCUCUCUGAUGAAACUUUAGACACAUAUUUGAAAGCUGGUAAGAAACCAUUUGAGUGUCAGAGUGUCUCUGCUAAGAUAUUUAAGAGACGGCUGAAUGUUUUAGAACUGACGUUAACAAAUUCAUUUAUAUUUCUGCAAACGAUACAUUUACGAUCACCUAAUAACUGGAGACACAAAAACUGGUGAAUUAUGUGAUUUUAAAUUACACACGAUAUGACAUA